Molecule: ribosomal RNA, 484 nt
Filed under: uncultured bacterium
Lineage: Bacteria
Description: bacterial SSU rRNA
Rfam family: Bacterial small subunit ribosomal RNA
Source: RNAcentral
AUUGAACGCUGGCGGCAUGCCUAACACAUGCAAGUCGAACGGUAGCAGGUCCUUCGGGAUGCUGACGAGUGGCGGACGGGUGCGUAACGCGUGGGAAUCUGCCCAAUAGUGGGGGAUAACCCGGGGAAACCCGGGCUAAUACCGCAUACUCCCUACGGGGGAAAGCGGGGGACCGAAAGGCCUCGCGCUAUUGGAUGAGCCCGCGUCCGAUUAGCUUGUUGGUGGGGUAAAGGCCUACCAAGGCGACGAUCGGUAGCUGGUCUGAGAGGACGACCAGCCACACUGGGACUGAGACACGGCCCAGACUCCUACGGGAGGCAGCAGUGGGGAAUAUUGGACAAUGGGGGAAACCCUGAUCCAGCAAUGCCGCGUGUGUGAAGAAGGCCUGCGGGUUGUAAAGCACUUUCGGCAGGAAAGAAAAGUCAUGCGCCAAUACCGCAUGACCUUGACGUUACCUGCAAAAGAAGCACCGGCUAACUCCGUG